UAGGGAAUCUUCCACAAUGGACGAAAGUCUGAUGGAGCAACGCCGCGUGAGUGAAGAAGGUUUUCGGAUCGUAAAACUCUGUUGUUGGAGAAGAACGUAUUUGAUAGUAACUGAUCAGGUAGUGACGGUAUCCAACCAGAAAGCCACGGCUAACUACGUGCCAGCAGCCGCGGUAAUACGUAGGUGGCAAGCGUUGUCCGGAUUUAUUGGGCGUAAAGCGAGCGCAGGCGGUUUCUUAAGUCUGAUGUGAAAGCCUUCGGCUCAACCGAAGAAGUGCAUCGGAAACUGGGAAACUUGAGUGCAGAAGAGGACAGUGGAACUCCAUGUGUAGCGGUGAAAUGCGUAGAUAUAUGGAAGAACACCAGUGGCGAAGGCGGCUGUCUGGUCUGUAACUGACGCUGAGGCUCGAAAGCAUGGGUAGCAAACA
Molecule: ribosomal RNA, 427 nt
Filed under: uncultured bacterium
Lineage: Bacteria
Also listed under: 1 other name
Description: bacterial SSU rRNA
Rfam family: Bacterial small subunit ribosomal RNA
Source: RNAcentral